Molecule: long non-coding RNA, 1824 nt
Organism: Hylaeus anthracinus
Lineage: Eukaryota; Metazoa; Arthropoda; Insecta; Hymenoptera; Colletidae
Exons: 5
Source: RefSeq, a predicted model, not a curated record
UAUAGGAACUGCUUGAUCCACGGUUUGCGAUCCUGACGAAUCCGAUGUGUUAUUGCCUGUAGCUUCUCGAUAAAGAGCCACCUCGUACUCCAAACGUCCUGGAGUCUCUUCGACCACCCCGGAUACUCUCGCGCCAUGCGGACUGAAAAAUAGAGAAAUUACAGGACGUUUAAGCGUUUCUUAAAAUCUAACUAAAUCUAAUGGAUACUCACAAUGUGCCAGCGAAACCUGCAGCUUUGUGUCUCAAUAACGUUGGCUCGGGUGGUCGACACAUCAGGAUUAGUUCUUGGUCAGCUAGCAUUACCACGCCUGGAAAUGCUGGGAACCAUAUUCGCAGAAUGCCACAUCUGGAGAAGUCGGUCACCUUGAGGAAGUAGUUGUCUUCCUGAGGAUCGUUGGGAUCUGGUCUGAUCUGGCAAUGAAUAUCGUGAGCAGAUCGGCUGCUGAUCCUGCACCACUGCAUUGAAUGUCAGAGACUUCGUAGUCCUGGGCGACGGUGACUGCAACCUGUAACAGUACCACAUUAAGGCAUUCUCCAAGUACAUACUGUUUAUCGUUAGGGACAGCGUUGUUACAUCUCUGCUGACUUAUGAAGUACUCUUUUCCAAGUAGUUUGUUACAAUGUACAAAUAAUUUCUACAUCACAUGAAAAAACUGAAAGGAAAGUAUUCGUGUUAUUUUGAUAAAUAAUGUAUACCAUAAAUGUUACACGAAAUUAAACGGUACGAUAUAAAGGUCGUAUUAAUUUAAUUAUAAUUAACGCAGAUCACCUUCAAGAUUCCUUUUUAAGAUAUUAUUGCCUACUGUGGAGCUGCCUUCGACAAGAAGGAAGGUGACCAACAGAUGAGCGAGCAGAACAGAUUCCAAUGCGAGUAACGGUGUAAAGAAACGCUCUGAUGCCCGCCUAAAAUAUUCGUUAUGCGUGCCAUACAGGCUGCCCAUCGCACGGUCAGCCACACGGAUAAUCGUGGUACAGGUUAUGGUUACUUCUUCAAGGUAGGUCAGUCGAGAUUUCAAGAUUGGGCGAGUCAUACGGUAAACGCUGAUAAAAUCGUUUAUCAUAAAGGUAUAUUUAUUUAUAUAGAUAGAAAUAAUCCCCAUUAACAUAGAGAAAAUGUAUUUAUAUUCUAGUAUCUAAUUAUAAGGGUGUUAUAUGUAUAUAUGUUUAAAAUGUCUAUAGGUUGUCAGGGGCUGUAGCUAUGUUUAAUUUUGAAAUGUAGCUACAGUACGGGUUUAGCGAUCCCGAGGUAGCCGAGCUACAGGUGAACCAGUAGGCCUCAACGGACUCCUGACACUCCCAGAAAAUAAUGAAGACCUCUCACAACUCUUAUAGAUAAAACGUACUCAUUCAUUCACUCAAAUCAGGCUUGGGUAAUUCUGGUGGCGAGUAGAAAUUGGAAACUUGUCCAUUCCAGAAUUUAUCUAACAACGUUUGAUCGAAUACUUGAAUUUCAAUAUUCCUAUUCUCGCAGUUUAACAUUUCUACUUUUGGAAAUAAUACCAAACGUUCGCGGAAAUCUUGAGCGAAAAGAAAAGUAUGCGUAGCUGGUACCCACCGUGCAGAAUCCAGCGAUCAGGACGGUCAACAUGAUCUUCUUGAUCGUCCUCUUCACUAUCCUCGUUCUUGGUUCCCGAAGGCACAGAGAAACUAAAACACACUUUGAAGAAAAAAUCGCACUGUCGGGGAUGCAAUUUUGUCGAGGGUUCCCGGUGAACUGAGGCGCGUGUAUCACGUAAGAAUUCUCCCUUCCGUGGCAGAUUCCUUCAACGGGUACUGUCUUCUGGGAGGGGAGGAACGGAAAUCAAGGAAUCAGAGAACCACCG